This 511-nucleotide long non-coding RNA is filed under the name Solanum tuberosum (potato). RNAcentral's name for it is "long non-coding RNA (STUB_LNC010976)". The record is from RNAcentral. Lineage: Eukaryota; Viridiplantae; Streptophyta; Magnoliopsida; Solanales; Solanaceae.
CCUCAUCCAAUGUUUCUUCUUUUUCUUGCACAAUUUCCAUCUUAUCUUCACUUUCCGGAGGCUCCUCAGGGACAAUCUCACCAGCAUUGGUCUUCUCCUCCUCAUCCUUUGUUUCUUCUUUUUCUUGCACAAUUUCCAUCUUAUCUUCACUUUCCGGAGGCUCCUCAGGGACAAUCUCACCAGCAUUGGUCUUCUCCUCCUCAUCCUUUGUUUCUUCUUUUUCUUGCACAAUUUCCAUCUUAUCUUCACUUUCCGGAGGCUCCUCAGGGACAAUCUCACCAGCAUUGGUCUUCUCCUCCUCAUCCUUUGUUUCUUCUUUUUCUUGCACAAUUUCCAUCUUAUCUUCACUUUCCGGAGGCUCCUCAGGGACAAUCUCACAAGCAUUGGUCUUCUCCUCCUCAUCCUUUGUUUCUUCUUUUUCUUGCACAAUUUCCAUCUUAUCUUCACUUACCAGAGGCUCCUCGGGGACAAUCUCACCAUCACUGAUCUUCUCCUUCUCAUCCUUUGUUUC